RNAcentral lists this ribosomal RNA (330 nucleotides) under uncultured Planctomycetota bacterium. Its description in RNAcentral is "bacterial SSU rRNA". It matches the Rfam family "Bacterial small subunit ribosomal RNA", at positions 568 to 898 of the family's 1533-position model. The record is from RNAcentral. Lineage: Bacteria; Pseudomonadati; Planctomycetota.
UGCGUAGGCGGCCGCUUAAGUAGGGUGUGAAAUACCUCGGCUCAACCGAGGAAUUGCGCUCUAAACUGGACGGCUUGAGUGAGAUAGGGGUGUGCGGAACUUCCAGUGGAGCGGUGAAAUGUGUUGAUAUUGGAAGGAACGCCGGUGGCGAAAGCGGCACACUGGGUCUUAACUGACGCUGAGGCACGAAAGCCAGGGUAGCGAACGGGAUUAGAUACCCCGGUAGUCCUGGCUGUAAACGCUGAGCACUAGACGGGAGGGGCUUCGGCCCAUUCGGUCGCAGCGAAAGCAUUAAGUGCUCCGCCUGGGGAGUAUGGUCGCAAGGCUGAA